UACGGGGGGUGCAAGCGUUGUCCGGAUUUAUUGGGCGUAAAGCGCGUGUAGGCGGUUUCUUAAGUCUGAUGUGAAAGCCCUGGGCUCAACCUGGGAAGUGCAUUGGAUACUGGGGGACUUGAAUACGGGAGAGGGUAGUGGAAUUCCUAGUGUAGGAGUGGAAUCCGUAGAUAUUAGGAGGAACACCGGUGGCGAAGGCGGCUACCUGGACCGAUAUUGACGCUGAGACGCGAAAGCGUGGGGAGCAAACAGG
This 253-nucleotide ribosomal RNA is filed under the name uncultured bacterium. RNAcentral's name for it is "partial 16S ribosomal RNA". It matches the Rfam family "Bacterial small subunit ribosomal RNA", at positions 524 to 776 of the family's 1533-position model. The record is from RNAcentral.